RNAcentral lists this transfer RNA (71 nucleotides) under Danio rerio (zebrafish). It matches the Rfam family "tRNA". Rfam says of the family: Transfer RNA (tRNA) molecules are approximately 80 nucleotides in length. Lineage: Eukaryota; Metazoa; Chordata; Actinopteri; Cypriniformes; Danionidae. The record is from Rfam by way of RNAcentral.
GCAUUGGUGGUUCAGUGGUAGAAUUCUCGCCUGCCACGCUGGAGACCAGGUUUCGAUUCCCAGCCAAUGCA